UAGAGCUGUAGUCAAAUAUGAUACAUGAUUUGCAAUCAUGAGGUGUUUUAUUAAACCAACUUUAAC
This 66-nucleotide transfer RNA is filed under the name Parribacus antarcticus. Its description in RNAcentral is "tRNA-Ala". It matches the Rfam family "tRNA". From Rfam's summary of the family: Transfer RNA (tRNA) molecules are approximately 80 nucleotides in length. Their secondary structure includes four short double-helical elements and three loops (D, anti-codon, and T loops). Further hydrogen bonds mediate the characteristic L-shaped molecular structure. tRNAs have two regions of fundamental functional importance: the anti-codon, which is responsible for specific mRNA codon recognition, and the 3' end, to which the tRNAs corresponding amino acid is attached (by aminoacyl-tRNA synthetases). tRNAs cope with the degeneracy of the genetic code in two manners: having more than one tRNA (with a specific anti-codon) for a particular amino acid; and 'wobble' base-pairing, i.e. permitting non-standard base-pairing at the 3rd anti-codon position. Lineage: Eukaryota; Metazoa; Arthropoda; Malacostraca; Decapoda; Scyllaridae. The record is from RNAcentral.